GUGAUGGAGUUGUUAUCUUUAUAUUUUCUUUUUACUUAUAUGAUUAUUUAAAACUGAUUAAUAUUCUCUUGGUUUAAGAGACCCUUGGAGUGGUGGAGGGUAUUCCACCUCUUUUUAUUUGCUCAUUUUCUCCAAUAAUCAUUGCCUGUAAUGGAGUAUUUUUUAUUGAAUGCUAAGAGCUUUUAUCAAGGUCCAAUGUGAUAGCUAGCUAAUUAUGUUUGUGGGUUGCAGUUUGCUAAAGAAUAUAUCAAAAAGUAUAGUGAAUGUGUAACUGUUAAAACAAAUCACAAUGACAGUUAUGUAUGUUGUGCUCUUUUUAUUAUGUGGUGGUAAUGUUUGUUACACAUGUAAGUAGUAUGUAACCUCUCAUAAGUCUCAUUAUCAUUUCUCUUUUCUCUUUUCCUUUUAUUUAUCAUAAGUCUCUUUAUGUUUAUGCAGUUUGAUACUACAUUAGUUGUCUAAGAUAUGUAAGUAAAAUUUCUUCCACUUUCUUCCAGUUUGAUACUACAGUUUGCUGAAGAAUAUAUCAGAAAGCAUAGUGAAUAUUGUAGCAAAAGAAAAGGUCCAAAUUAAUACUAUAUAAUAUUUUAUCCUCUUUUUCUUUCCUUAUUUCUGUGUUUUAUGAACAGGUGCUCAUCACUAAACCUAAGGUUCUCAACUAAGAAAAUCCAGAGUGGCUAAAGGUGGUAAGGGAUCAAGAGGGUGUGUAAUAGCAUCAUGCUCACAACUGGCAAUUAGUUUGGCCACUGAUAAAUGCCUGCAAGGCCAAUGGUUUGCAUUAUAUCCAGUCCCCUUGUUGAGGGUGACAUGCUCCCAUGACUCUCAGUCAGCAUCCGAUUUCAUAGUUUUAUGAGUUUGGGUCAGGGAUUUCUUCAACCGGGGGAAGGUGCUUGGAUACAGGGCAGCAGCUUAUGUAUCCCAAGGGAAUAACCAUGGCCACCUUUCAUAUGGGGAAUGAUCAUGUUGAGAAUUGGGCUGAUUUAGGCAUGGCAGACAAUAACCAACAAAUUAAUGAUACUUGCACAUAUAUUGAUACUGAUGAUAAAAUCCAUUGCAACAGAGUUAAUAACGAGACACAUAUGGUUUACCACUUCAAGGAUCAGAUGAAGUCCAAUCCUGAAGAUCAGAAGGUUUUUAUUUUUUAUCAGGUCCAAGUCCAACUGCUUGUAGCUACUGAUUGUGUGUUCCAUAAGUGAUGGAUUAUUUGUAUUGUUUACUCUUAUACAUUAAUAUAGUUGUCCACUUAAGUUACAUGUGGAUUUGAAUCUUGAGAUGGUUGGUCAGAGAUGUUAACUUUUUAAAUACUAGAGAUGUUAUCCACUAGUUAUUCAUUCUUAGUUA
Molecule: long non-coding RNA, 1341 nt
Organism: Lotus japonicus
Lineage: Eukaryota; Viridiplantae; Streptophyta; Magnoliopsida; Fabales; Fabaceae
Exons: 4
Source: RefSeq, a predicted model, not a curated record